RNAcentral lists this ribosomal RNA (505 nucleotides) under uncultured bacterium. RNAcentral's name for it is "partial 16S ribosomal RNA". It matches the Rfam family "Bacterial small subunit ribosomal RNA", at positions 28 to 507 of the family's 1533-position model. The record is from RNAcentral.
GACGAACGCUGGCGGCGUGCCUAAUACAUGCAAGUAGAACGCACAGUUUAUACCGUAGCUUGCUACACCAUAAACUGUGAGUUGCGAACGGGUGAGUAACGCGUAGGUAACCUUCCUGGUAGCGGGGGAUAACUAUUGGAAACGAUAGCUAAUACCGCAUAAUAUUAAUUAUUGCAUGAUAAUUGAUUGAAAGAUGCAAUUGCAUCACUACCAGCUGGACCUGCGUUGUAUUAGCUAGUAGGUGAGGUAACGGCUCACCUAGGCGACGAUACAUAGCCGAGCUGAGAGGGUGAUCGGCCACACUGGGACUGAGACACGGCCCAGACUCCUACGGGAGGCAGCAGGAGGGAAUCUUCGGCAAUGGACGAAAGGCUGACCGAGCAAAGCCGCGGGAGUGAAGAAGGUUUUCGGAUCGUAAAGCUCUGUUGUAAGAGAAGAACGGGUGUGAGAGUGGAAAGUUCACACUGUGACGGUAUCUUAACAGAAAGGGACGGCUAACUACGCG